Molecule: transfer RNA, 77 nt
Filed under: Ruminiclostridium sp.
Lineage: Bacteria; Bacillati; Bacillota; Clostridia; Eubacteriales; Oscillospiraceae
Description: tRNA-His
Rfam family: tRNA (bases 9-66)
About the family: Transfer RNA (tRNA) molecules are approximately 80 nucleotides in length.
Source: RNAcentral
CAGACUNNAGCUCAGUUGGUUAGAGCGCCAGGUUGUGGCCCUGGAGGCCAUGGGUUCGAAUCCCAUUAUUCACCCCA